RNAcentral lists this ribosomal RNA (493 nucleotides) under uncultured bacterium. RNAcentral's name for it is "bacterial SSU rRNA". It matches the Rfam family "Bacterial small subunit ribosomal RNA", at positions 30 to 518 of the family's 1533-position model. The record is from RNAcentral.
AUUGAACGCUGGCGGCAUGCCUUACACAUGCAAGUCGAACGGUAACAGGUCUUCGGAUGCUGACGAGUGGCGAACGGGUGAGUAAUACAUCGGAACGUGCCCGAUCGUGGGGGAUAACGCAGCGAAAGCUGUGCUAAUACCGCAUACGAUCUACGGAUGAAAGCGGGGGAUCGCAAGACCUCGCGCGGACGGAGCGGCCGAUGGCAGAUUAGGUAGUUGGUGGGAUAAAAGCUUACCAAGCCGACGAUCUGUAGCUGGUCUGAGAGGACGACCAGCCACACUGGGACUGAGACACGGCCCAGACUCCUACGGGAGGCAGCAGUGGGGAAUUUUGGACAAUGGGCGCAAGCCUGAUCCAGCCAUGCCGCGUGCAGGAUGAAGGCCUUCGGGUUGUAAACUGCUUUGUUACGGAACGAAAAGACUCUCUCUAAUACAGGGGUGGAAUGACGGUACCGUAAGAAUAAGCACCGGCUAACUACGUGCCAGCAGCCGG